CUUGGUCAUUUAGAGGAAGUAAAAGUCGUAACAAGGUUUCCGUAGGUGAACCUGCGGAAGGAUCAUUAAUGAAGUCUGGGCUUCGGCCCUCUCUCUUCUACACACUUGUGAACUUACACCGUUGCUUUGGCAGGUCUCCGGACGGGCGUCAGCCUCGAAGGUCAGGUCGAAAGACGCCUGCCAAAGACACUUAUCCACCCUUUUUUAAUUGUCUGAAUCUUGUUUAUAACAAAUAAAAUAAAACUUUCAACAAUGGAUCUCUUGGCUCUGGCAUCGAUGAAGAACGCAGCGAAAUGCGAUAAGUAAUGUGAAUUGCAGAAUUCAGUGAAUCAUCGAAUCUUUGAACGCACAUUGCGCCCUCUGGUAUUCCGGAGGGCAUGCCUGUUUGAGUGUCAUUAAUCUCUCACAAGAUCUUCUGGUCUUGUCGAUGUUGGGAGCUGCGACCCCCCAGGGGGACGCUCUCCUCAAAUGCAUUGGUGCGGCCCGCCGCCCGGUUACACAACGUUCUAGGUUCGUCCAACUCGUUGAAGCCGGCGCAAAUCUGGCGCUGCACCUUAAGCCCGCCCUGAGCCUCGAGCUCCUGGCAUAACUUCAUUUAUUGACCUCAGAUCAGGUAGGAAUACGCGCUGAACGUAAGCAUAUCAAUAAGCGGAGGA
RNAcentral lists this ribosomal RNA (656 nucleotides) under uncultured fungus. RNAcentral's name for it is "eukaryotic LSU rRNA". The stretch from base 242 to 395 matches the Rfam family "5.8S ribosomal RNA". The record is from RNAcentral. Lineage: Eukaryota; Fungi.